UGGUUCUCGCAUCGAUGAAGAACGCAGCGAAUUGCGAUAUGUAAUGCGAAUUGCAGAAUUCAGUGAAUCAUCGAAUCUUUGAACGCACAUUGCACCCUUUGGUAUUCCGAAGGGUAUGCCUGUUUGAGUGUCAUUAAAUUAUCAACAUGAAAGCUUUGUUUUUAUGCUUGGAAUUGAAGAAUUGCUGAUGUCAAAUUAGCUUCUUUUAAAUAUAUUAGCGGAACUUUGCAAGUCCAGCUCCAGCUUGAUAAUAUCUAGGUUGUUGCUGUGUUACUUCAUUUAAUCUGCUUCAAAUUGUCUGACUUUGUUAGACUGUCUCGCUUCAGAGGCAUAUUUUAAUCUUGACCUCAAAUCAGGUAGGACUACCCGCUGA
RNAcentral lists this unclassified non-coding RNA (373 nucleotides) under uncultured fungus. Its description in RNAcentral is "partial contains 5.8S ribosomal RNA and internal transcribed spacer 2". The stretch from base 1 to 133 matches the Rfam family "5.8S ribosomal RNA", at positions 22 to 154 of the family's 154-position model. Lineage: Eukaryota; Fungi. The record is from RNAcentral.